AUUGAACGCUGGCGGAAUGCUUUACACAUGCAAGUCGAACGGCAGCACGGACUUCGGUCUGGUGGCGAGUGGCGAACGGGUGAGUAAUGUAUCGGAACGUGCCCAGUCGUGGGGGAUAACGUAGUGAAAAUUACGCUAAUACCGCAUACGAUCUAUGGAUGAAAGCGGGGGAUCGCAAGACCUCGCGCGAUUGGAGCGGCCGAUAUCAGAUUAGGUAGUUGGUGGGGUAAAGGCCCACCAAGCCAACGAUCUGUAGCUGGUCUGAGAGGACGACCAGCCACACUGGAACUGAGACACGGUCCAGAAUCCUACGGGAGGCAGCAGUGGGGAAUUUUGGACAAUGGGCGAAAGCCUGAUCCAGCCAUUCCGCGUGCAGGAUGAUGGCCCUCGGGUUGUAAACUGCUUUUGUACAGAACGAAAAGGUUUCUACUAAUACUAGGAGCUCAUGACGGUACUGUAAGAAUAAGCACCGGCUAACUACGUGCCAGCCGCCGCGGUAA
This 500-nucleotide ribosomal RNA is filed under the name uncultured bacterium. Its description in RNAcentral is "partial 16S ribosomal RNA". It matches the Rfam family "Bacterial small subunit ribosomal RNA", at positions 30 to 523 of the family's 1533-position model. The record is from RNAcentral.